GAAAGAUGGUCGAGUUGGUUUAAGGCACCGGUCUUGAAAACCGGCGAUGGUUUUGCCAUCCGUGGGUUCGAAUCCCACUCUUUCC
RNAcentral lists this transfer RNA (85 nucleotides) under bovine gut metagenome. It matches the Rfam family "tRNA". Rfam says of the family: Transfer RNA (tRNA) molecules are approximately 80 nucleotides in length. Their secondary structure includes four short double-helical elements and three loops (D, anti-codon, and T loops). Further hydrogen bonds mediate the characteristic L-shaped molecular structure. tRNAs have two regions of fundamental functional importance: the anti-codon, which is responsible for specific mRNA codon recognition, and the 3' end, to which the tRNAs corresponding amino acid is attached (by aminoacyl-tRNA synthetases). tRNAs cope with the degeneracy of the genetic code in two manners: having more than one tRNA (with a specific anti-codon) for a particular amino acid; and 'wobble' base-pairing, i.e. permitting non-standard base-pairing at the 3rd anti-codon position. The record is from RNAcentral.